This is a long non-coding RNA of Trematomus bernacchii (emerald rockcod), 1088 nucleotides long. RefSeq lists it as uncharacterized. The transcript is spliced from 11 exons. Lineage: Eukaryota; Metazoa; Chordata; Actinopteri; Perciformes; Nototheniidae. The record is from RefSeq and is a predicted model, not a curated record.
CCUCUUCUCCUUCACUGUCUGCGUUGAAGCUACACUCUGCAGCAUGUGGCUCUCACAGGGCGUGAUGCUUCUACAUCUAAAUAUGAAGUUUGCUGCAGACGAACCACCCUGAAAAGGCGCUUUUCCUCCUGCGGAAUGAAGCUAAUCUUCCUACAACAGAUCAGAUGCGAAGUCCUUCGUAAUGAAAGGUUCACGUGGGUCCUCGUUGACACUGGCUGAAAAUGAGGAGGCCUGGUGAAAGGUGAGGGUCCUCAUUGAGACUGGCUGAAAAUGAUGCGGGCCUGGUGAAAGGUCCUGAUCAGUAUGACGUCCCUUUGGUGCUGAGAAAAGUUGCUCAGGUUCACGUGGGUCCUUGUUGACUCUGAAAAUGAAGAGACCUGGUGAAAGGUUCAUGAGGGUCCUCGUUGAGACUGGCUGAAAAUGAUGCGGGCCUGGUGAAAGCAGGUCCUGAUCAGUAAUGAAAGACUGACAUCCCUUUGGUGCUGAGAAAAGUUCCUCGGGUUCAUGUGGGUCCUCGUUGACACUCUGAAAAUGAGGAGGCCUGGUGAAAGGUUCUUGAGGGUCCUCGUUGGAUCGGUUGAAAAUGAUGUGGCCUGGUGAAAGGUUCUUGAGGGUCCUCGUUGGGUCGGUUGAAAAUGAUGUGGCCUGGUGAAAGGUCCUAUUCAGUAAUGAAAGCCUAUGACGUCCCUCUGGUGCUGAGAAAAGUUGCUCAGAACAAAUGUAAGGAGAAACGGCUUGGAUUGAUCCAGAAGUCAGACUCUGCAGUAGAUUUGUUGGUGUACAAAUGAAAAACAAUGUUUGCUCUAAAACGUGUUUAAUAAAAUUGUUUGUAUAAAACAUUCAAGUACAAUGGCACGAAUCUUACUGGGAGUGCCCAGCAUGCAUUGGUCAAUCUGUGUUGAAGGUCGAUCUGUAAGAUUUCUUCUUUAAAUUCUCCAAGAACACUUGCUCUUCUUGGAGGUAUUCACGGUCCUGUGGAGAAAGGCAUUAGGAAGAAACAAAAGUUGUUUUAAAUGUACUACUACUGAUGAAUGUGACCGUGAGCCACUGUGGCAUUUUGUUCCUAUUGACAUUAAAAACCUCAAUAU